CGCGAGGUGGAGCAGCUCGGUAGCUCGCUGGGCUCAUAACCCAGAGGUCGCAGGUUCAAAUCCUGUCCUCGCUA
Molecule: transfer RNA, 74 nt
Filed under: Streptomyces boetiae
Lineage: Bacteria; Bacillati; Actinomycetota; Actinomycetes; Kitasatosporales; Streptomycetaceae
Also listed under: 3 other names
Description: Streptomyces sp. DSM 44917 tRNA-Met
Rfam family: tRNA
About the family: Transfer RNA (tRNA) molecules are approximately 80 nucleotides in length. Their secondary structure includes four short double-helical elements and three loops (D, anti-codon, and T loops). Further hydrogen bonds mediate the characteristic L-shaped molecular structure. tRNAs have two regions of fundamental functional importance: the anti-codon, which is responsible for specific mRNA codon recognition, and the 3' end, to which the tRNAs corresponding amino acid is attached (by aminoacyl-tRNA synthetases). tRNAs cope with the degeneracy of the genetic code in two manners: having more than one tRNA (with a specific anti-codon) for a particular amino acid; and 'wobble' base-pairing, i.e. permitting non-standard base-pairing at the 3rd anti-codon position.
Source: RNAcentral